RNAcentral lists this long non-coding RNA (14737 nucleotides) under Medicago truncatula (barrel medic). RNAcentral's name for it is "long non-coding RNA (MTRU_LNC008027)". The stretch from base 7549 to 7777 matches the Rfam family "MIR2630 microRNA precursor family". The record is from RNAcentral. Lineage: Eukaryota; Viridiplantae; Streptophyta; Magnoliopsida; Fabales; Fabaceae.
AGUAAUUUGUUGUGCGCAACUAGAGGCUAACUUUACACCUUACCUUCUCUUUUUCUGGAUACUUGUUAGUUCCUUCCGGACCGUUUUUGAAACUUCAAAGAUGCAAAUAUUUGUUUGGAUCUUCUUGGUUCAUACCUGAUGGGUAAAGGCAAACACAGGUAAUUAAAAAUCCUCUGUUUUGAUCAAAUCCAUUUACGUGAUGGUUAUUUUUAUUUUCUAUAAACUUUGCUGCUCCGUCAGUUUCAGUAAUUUGGCCAAAUCUCAAGUAUACCCACCUUCUUUUCAUAGUGCAAAAUUACCAUUUUAGUUGGGAUUCUUAAUUUUCUGAUUGCUAUUUAUAUGGCCUGACUCAUAUUUUCUCUAUUACUGUUUUGUUUAAUGGUGAAUUCGCACUAUACUUUAACAAGGUUCUGAUGUUCUGUUUUAUCUGUUACAACCAAAAUGGAGAAGUUAAAAUUACUGCUAGAUAGGGUAAACAUGCAGAUUGCUAAGUUAAUAGAUUGUAUUUUUGACACCAUAUCUGUUUGUGUCAGUGGAUCAUGAUUAGCUAAUUCUAAAAUUUUCUGUUGGGGAUAACUUUACAUCUCUGCUGGAAACAUGUAUAUGAUUGUGAUUGUUCUACAUGCAUAUCUACUAUAAACUUAAGAAAUGUAAUUACCACCAAAACUACAAUAAAAUCCCUAUACACAUUGCUUUAUUUUGUGACACAUCUUGUUUUUGGUAAUUUUGAUUUUAUGCAUAAAACAUCAUUAAUUAUAUAUUAAAAUAUCAAUAUAGACACUUUUCAACAAUACCCUAACCUUUGAUGAUGAUAAAGACAAAUACAUUUCUGCAUUCAAGGUAUUUUAUUUCAUAUUUCCCUUGACAAAAUGUACACGGGAUGAAUAUUUUGACUACUCAAUUAGUUAAAAGAGAAAAGUGUUUUUCAUUAGAAGUGUGUUUUUUCAACACCUUCCAAGUAAAAAUUUGAUGACGGUAAACAGAAAUACCACUCUGCAUUCAUGUGCACUAGAUAGAUAAAGGUCAGUUCUCUGCAAAUGCUAGACUACUUUCAGGUAAGGUAUGUGCCAAAGCUGGGCUACGACAGCAAAUGAGGUGCAAUUUGAGAAUCUUUGGGAUUUGGGUGGUGAUAAAAAAGCAAAACAAUGAUGAAAUAGUUGGUGUAGACUUUAAAAAUCCAGGGUGUAUAAGUGUCGUCACAUAAGUGUAGAGGAAAAUUCUAUAAUUUUGUGAGAGAUGAACGUGGUCCUCUCUUUAUAGAGCUUUAAAACCAGUUCUGAUCAUGGCAGGUAAAGGUGCAUUAAUAUUGGUGCACAAAUGAAUGUUACAGUUGAGACAAUUAAGCCUUUGGUCCUCUUUAUAGUCCCUAAGAAAUGCAUGUAGUUUGUGUUUGAUUGAUUGUGUGUUUUGAAAAUUGUACAAUGAUGAGUAUUUAGUGGCAAAACUAUUCCUACUGACUUAACAGACAUGUCUCAUCGUGGCUUUGUUUGACUAAUUGCACGGGCAGUGUGCAUUUUCCCUCAUUUGCCCUUGAAAAAGUUCAAACAACGGGUUCGUAGAUCGUAGUUCCCAGGUUUCUUCUAUGGUCUGACCAUUUUUUUCUCUUGGAAAAAAUUUCAAAUACUGGUUCGGUAGUUCCAAGGUUUCUGCGGCAAAAUAUAUUGAAAGUUGCUCAAUAGGCCUCUUGGCUCACAGUCCCCUAAAAAAACCAUAAAUACCCCUCCCGGGAGUUAGGACCCGAAAUGAAGCGAUUGGGAGUUAGUACCCGAUAGGUUCAGAUCGCAACUCCUGCUUUCUCAUGUACCAAUCAAUGAGCUCUCUCUCAUCCAUAUCGACCUCAAACUCAUUUGCAUGUGUUGAAUGAUCAAAAACCGGUGACCCAUAAGGAAUUCAGAUGAUGCGAUAGAGAAAUUGGUGAGCGAACGCUACAUCCUUUUUACCUUGUGUGAAGAACAGAGUAGAAUUAUGAUCCGAAUCUAUCGGUUCCUAACUCCCGAUCACUUCAUUUCGGGUUCUAACUCUCUAGAGGGGUAUUUUUGGGUUUUUGAGGGGCUUGUGAGCAAUCUAAGAAGUCUAUUGAACAACUUUCAAAUAUAUUCUAUGACUAUAGUACUUUAAUAUAAACUUAUGUUAGAUGAAAGGAAAAUAUUAGAUAGCCAGUUAAUCAAAAUGAGACAACAUUAUAUUUGACUACAGGAAUGGUCUUGACUCUUGACAACUAACUUCCUAUUUUUGAAUAUUGACAAAUUCUUGCUGGAUUCUGUGAAGUGUUCCUGGUUGUGUAUCAUUACUUCAGACAAAUGUCUAGGCUAGUUUUAAGUUUUUUGAUUAAGCAGAGGUCCGUCGUCAUCGGAUAUGAGACUAAAAUCUUAACACGUUGAUUGAAGUGAUAUUCAGUUUUAAGACUUUCGGAAGUGAUCAAUUCCACAUUAAAAUAAUUAAAUUAAAAUAGCUUAUAACGAAUGAACUAGCAACACUAGUGAAGUUUUUCUGGCGCUAGAUGUGGUCCAGGUUUAAUAUAUAUAUUAGAAGGUAUUGAAAGAACAAAUUAAAGUGAAUACUCGGCGAUAUAGAUUAUGCAAUUGGAUUAAAUGCAAAUAUGGUGUUACAACUUACAAAGCUCUUGACAUAGUAGGUAUAAAGGCAGACCCGUUAUGUAUUGACUAUUGUAGGGUGUCUUGCCCUGUCUUUGCAUGGUUAUAAGUUGAUAUUAUGAAAUAAUGCACUUCUAUUGAAUACAUACAUAAAGUAUGUUCCCGACACAUUAAGUCAUUAAUCAAAUAAAUCAUAUAUUUUUUAAAUAAAUAAAAAAAGCAGAAAAGAGUGCAAAGAUAACAUACCAAGACAUAAAAGAAGGAUACAAAUAAGGAAAAUUCUAUGGUGAAGUCACGAAAAUGACUUUUCUGGUGAAGUUAACAUUAUAGUAUCAAAAAUAUUGUGAGUAACACCCCACUGUUUGUACAAUGGCAUCAAAAGUUCAGUCCCCAUAGUAUCAACAAUUCAUCAGACUAACAAGAAUACAUUUAAUCUAAUUUUAUCCUACCUUGUUUUAAGUGUAACACCCCACAAAGUGUAACACUUAAAACUAUCACAUAAUAUCAUCAACUAUGUUUGUAUGUUAAAGAUGUCAACGAUAAAAUAAUAUUUGUAAGUCCAAGAUGUUGCAAGCAUUACUGGAUGAAUUACUAUUAAUCAUGAAUCAGUAAUCAACAAUUUAAAAAUGAAUUAAACAUUAAGAUUAAAAUUAACUUUUUCAAAAAAGUCAAUUUUCUGACUGCACCGUAGAAGCUCCCUACAAAUAAACUUGAGAGGACUAAACCAAAACUCAAGUCAGAACAAUCAAAGUAACUCACAUCUAUCUCAUUUAAAAUCUUUGUUAGGAAAAUCCAAAGGGACAAAACCUGCCAAGGAAUAGAGUAUAGAGCAAAAAACUACAGAAACAAUAAGAGAACCUUUGACAAAGAUCAACAUCAAUAAAAUCUGAAUUUAGAAAAGUCUAAUCUAUUACAAUUAAAAGAAUCUAAAAUUCAGAAAAGCCAUAUUUUUGUCAAUACACUGCUUGACCUCUCUGAAAAUAUGAGAAAUGUAAAAAUACAUGUUUUUUUUUUUUGUUGAUAAAUCGUAAAAAUUGGAUACAGCCAUGAACGUGAACAUAAAAGAUUUCUCAAUUAUUAACUUGUUGAAAGGGGGAAGCCAAUUCCAUGUCUCUCUGUAGGAAAUGUAACGAAAAGCAUGCUGCAAAAAUCGCCAAUUGCCACAGGCAACGCCGUGAGGAUUUCUUGUAUCUCUUUUGAUGGUUCUGGAAAAAAGCAAUUCACCACAUUCCGAUCAAACAAUGCAAUUGCUGCAAACACCAGAAUUGACAUUACUGCAUGCAUAAAAUCUAUAAACCGUAUGCGGUAUUUAGCAGCAACUUGAGGUGGAAGUUUGGUUGAUCCAUCAAUAACCCACAAGCCCUUAAAGGUGGCAAACCCAUAAAUAAUAUUACCCUUGCUGUCUCUAAAGCUAUCAGUAAAGCUUAGCAGAAAGCAUGAUGCACCACAGAGAGUCACAAGUGCAGCAGUCAUCCACUUGCUGACAGAGUCACAGCUGCCAAUAUUUGUAAAGAUUGGUGAUAAAAGUUGUAAUGCAAGGACAGUGCCUGUAGGUAGAAGGUUUGCUAAAUGUGCCGUGCUCUGAAAUGUCAAACUUAUAGCUGUUUGUAUCAAGUUUCUCUUUGCUUCUGGAACCUCUGCAUUUAGCAGUAGUGGAACCUUGUGUUCAUCCUUGUUCUUAGAAUCAUCAUUGAUGCCCAUCGCUUAUACAACCUCUCUUCACCUUCCUUUAAUGUUUUGUUUUAUAUAUGCAGCAGCAUAGGUUUGUUUGUUGAUAAGGUAUAUAUAGUUAGGGACUGUUUAUAAGGUCUGGUUCAUAUGCCACAUAUGUUUUGCUGCGUUUAGAGUAGGUGUGGUUGCUUAAGUAGUGGGGUGGGGCUGAUGUAAGGCAAUCAUUUAUUUACAUUUCUGCUUCAACUUUGUAGGUGCAUCAGGCGGUGUUAAGUUACCUUGUAUUUAUAGUUGUUGCAGGGGUGGUUGUAUUUGGUGCUAUGAAGGCUUUUGCCUUUAAUCCUUAUGUUGGCACCCCUGGUGCCUUGACUUAAAUGAAAAGUUUUAUUUGGUUUCUAAAAAAAAUUACUAGUUGGGAAAUCAAUUUAAGGAAAUUACUAAUUCACGGUUCAACAUAUCUAUGCUCAAAUAAUUUCCGAAUCAUCGGUUUAAAUCAAAGUAGAAGUCUAAAUGAUAGUUAACUAUCGUUCGAUCUAUCCGACGGUAGUUAUCUACUGUUCCACAUAUGCAACUUAAACAAAAAAACUCCAAGGGUAGCUAACUACCGUGGAGCAAUACAAUUUAUUUUCAAUUUAUUGUGUGCUUUGUCUCCUAGCAUUUGCUGGAUGGUUUGGGCGAUCCCUCUUUCAUGUAAGUGUUGCUCAUGAACAUAUUUAUAUUUUAUGGUAACCAAUAUUUCAUGUAAGUGUUGUUCAUGAACAUAUUAUAAAUUACUGAUUUGUAGGAAGCUUAUCAUCAUCUUGAGCUGUAACGCGUUCCAUGAAAAAUAGAAAAAAGUUCUGCUCUAUAUCUACUAUUUAAUUACAGAAAUAUUCUAUGCCUGUAUAGGUCCUCAUUGUUAUUGAUUGUCAUUUGCAGGCAAUAGUUGUAUUUAUAAUAAGAUUUUGAAUGUAUGCUUAUGAAAAAAAGGUCAAGAUUUUGAAAGGUGAGAAAGGAAAAAGAAUGUUAUGAAGUAUGGUCGUACAAAAUCAACAUAUAAUCUUGUAAAACAUAAUCCGGCAAAAUUCACCAAAAAAAUGGCAAUGGUGUUGAAGAUUGUUUUUUAUGGAUUUUUGAACUUUUUUUUCCCUUCAGGUUGAAGGUGAAGAAGAUUGAGAGGUUAAAGAUGAAAAAUGGGUUGGAGACUGUGAAGCCCGGAUACGAGAUACGAUACUGCACCGAUACGUCGAUACGGAAAAAUUUCAAAAAUCAAGAUACGAUACGGCUGAGAUACGUUAAUAAAAAAAAAUUAUAUAAUUAAAUGUACAAUAUAAUUAUAACCAUUUUUUUAAUAUGCAAAUAUAUUAACAAACACAAGAAAUCAGGCUCGUAGCACAUUAACAUAAAUAUAAAUAAUAUUGACGAUUAAGAGAGUAGUCAUUAGUCAAUUACAUACGCAAUAUGUACAAAAAGAGCACCAUCAGUGCUAUACACCAAUGCUAAACUAUAUCAAAAAGGAACUUGUUAGUGUUAUACUAUAUCGAUCCAAAAAUGAAGCAUUAUAUCCAAAAAAAGAACACAUCAGUACUAAGAGUUAACACUAACAAGUAACUAACAUUUCAAUCUCCUCUCCUCCAUUUCCAUCAUCAAGAUACAAAUCAGCUUCCAAAUCUGGUUCAUCCAAAGACAACUCUGCUAACUCAAUUCCAACACCAUCAAGCGGUUCAUGCGCAUCUCCACGAAUGUCCCACAUUCUUGAUUGUCCUUUCUUAUAUCCAUCUUCUUUCCUUGACAAGAGUCGAAGAUUAGUAUGCACAUAAACCAAAUCUUCUACCCUUUUUGGAUCCAUUUUGUUUCUUUUCAAAGAAUGGAUAAAAGAGAAAGUACCCCAAUUUCUCUCACAACAUGAGGAAGAACAAGGUUGCACAAGAAGCUUUAAACCCUAAUUUCUCGAUGGUGGCCAAAGUGGACGGCGACCACUUUGGAAGAAAAAGUUGAAACCCUAAUUUCUUAGAAAGGGAAAGAUGCAAUUGUUUGUGUGGUGUGGGUCGUACUGACACCAAAGAAAGAUAAAGGAAAUGUAUAUAUAUUAUAGUAAUAUAAUGUUUUUAUUCUUAUUUUUUACAAAAAAAAAAAAAAAACAGAAAUCAAAAUAAUAUAAAAAACACAAGUAUCCGUGCGUAUCGGAUAAUUAUUUUUUUUAAAAAUAAAAUUUAAUAUUUGGAUACUCUCCGGAUACGUAUCGGGAAGUAUCAGGCAGGUAUCGGUGCAGGAUACGCAGGGGAUACGGUACGUCAUCCAUUUUGAAGUAUCGGAGCUUCACAGGUUGGAGAUGAUGAUUUUUAAAUUUUAGUUUUAUUUUAUUUUUCUUUAAUAAAAGUUGAUCAAAAAAUUGAUAAUUUGUUGAAUUGAACACACCACAUCAACACCUAUCAGCCACAUCAAUAUUGUUUAACAGAAAAGGGAAACAGUGCAAACUGUUUAAGAUAUAAAAUGAUUAAUUUGAAACUUAAAUUUUUUUAAGGACUAAUAUGAUAUUUUUGUCAAACUUAAAUGACUCAGGGGUAUUUGACCUAAAAUAAAAUGAGAAAAUUUGAGUAAUGCAAUUUUCUAUUAUGAUAUUGAGGGUUAUCAAUAAUGAUUUAAAUUUUAAGAAAUUAUAAGUAUACACAUCGAAUUUAUGUAAAUCCUAUACCAAAUAAGUAACAUCUUAUACCUCAAAAGAAACCGAGUCACCCUUUAAAGUAUAAAAAUCUUGCAUAAAAAAUGUUAGAAAGAAUGAGGAGUAUCGUAGUUUCAUCUCAUUUUGUUUCUUCCACAAAAAUUUAGGUGAGUUGAAUUCUGGAGGCUCAAUAUGGUCAAUGUAAGUCUCAAAGUUUAACGAGUAUUUACAGAUCACAAACUAAAGAGAUCCUCACAUCUGCCGCGAGAGUUGAACCCACAACCUUACAUAUAGGUAAACUUUUAACCAACUGAGUCAAUGUUCAUCGGUAUAGUCCCUAAUUUCAUUUGUCAUGAUGGUUUUCUUUUAAACUUUUUAAAUAUUUGUUGAUGUGUUAAACAAGCUAAUUAACCAUGCAGCCCACAAAACUAAAUAUAUCAAACUGUAUGUUUCUAGUAAUGACAAAUGCCAUUAUAUGUUAGUUUUAUAACCAACCUCCCUAUCACAUUCUUUAACUUUCACUCCACCAAGUUAAUCUUAUAUCAAGGUAACUUUCACGAUUCAAGCUAAUUUCCUGCUAAUGAUAAAAUACUUCUUAUUGACACAAAUAAUUUAUUAAAAAGUCCCCAGCAGUAGUUUAGUCCCUGCAAAUAUAGAACAUUUGGUUUUGGUCUUUGGUAUUUUGUUUUAAUCCUUGUAAAAUCAUUUCAUAUUGAAAUUGGUCCCUAUAAUAUUCAUUUUAGUCCUCAUUUUGAGAGACUAAAAUCAAAUAUUCUACAUAUUACAAGGACCAAAUCCAAUAUGAAUUAAUUUUACAAGGAUUAAAACAAAUUACCAAGGACCAAAACCAAAUUUUUUAUAUUUGCUGGGACUAAAACCAAAAAAAUAUUUUUACCGAGACUAAAACCAAAAUGUCAGAUAUUUGCAGGGACUAUUUUCACAUUUAAACCUAAUGAUUAUAAGUUUGCAUUUUUGCUUAUCUUGCCAAGUUUGAUUAGUUUGGUCAUAAUGAUGUAAUAACCAUAUUUUGAGCAUAAUGAUAUAAUGAUUAGUUUGGAUUUGUGUGUUAUAAUGUAUAUAUCUAUGAAAUAUCAAUCAAAAUAAAUACAUUGUUUGAAUUUUUGAAGAAUUAUAAUUAUUAUAAGCUUGGAUUUUUAAAUUUUUUAGCAAGUUUGAAGAAUGACAUAAUGUGGUAUGUUAUAUAAAUGCCUAAGUUAUUGAAUGAUUCUAAGUGUGGAUAUGUAUGAAUGCCUAAGUUUCAUUUUUGAUAUGUUAUAUGUUACUUGGUUGGAUUUUUAUGCUAUUUUAAAUGCCUUAAAAGUAUAUAGUUUUUAAGGAAAUGAUGUAUUCUUAAAUACAUUGUCCACUUAUUUGUGUUUUUUUAAAUUUGUUUUGAACAGAUAUGGCUAGGGACGAGGAUGAGUGGCAACGGGUUAUUAGAGAGGAUAGGAUGCGCAACGGCAAAACGGCGAGUACCGCUAGCGCUCAGAAGGAAAAGGUGGAUCAAAACCCGUAUGUCCCGAAGACUCGGAAGCGGAUGGACGCGAGGCCAGGUGUAGAGAGCUCACAACCACAUAUGGAUCACUCCUCACAGGUGGUUGAUCCGACACAGACAUAUGAGUAUGCGAAGGGAUUUCGGGGAUAUGAUCGGAUGGAGGAGGAUAUAAUGUUUUAUCAGCUGCAGGACGAGGCAGAGGAUGAGGAGGUGGCAUGUGAUGAGGAGGUGCCAGAGGAUGUUGUGGCGGAUUAUAUAGAGGCAGAGAAUGUUGUUCCUGAGGGUGAGCCUGAGCCUGAGCCUCAGACUCAGCAACGACGUCGUCGUGUUCCACCGAUAUCGCCAUAUCCUGUUGGAGAGCCUCCCUAUCCUGGAGGACCUGAGACCACACCACUGUUGUCCCACUACGUGAGGCACGUGACGAACCCUCUUUGGAUGAACUAUCAUAAUGUAAGUGUUUAAGUUAUUUAAAAUUCUUUAAAUGCUUUAAAGUGAUUAUUUAAAAUAAUGUAGCGUAAAUGUUUUAAUUAUUUAAAAGAAUGUAGCGUAAGUUUUUUAAUUAUAAUAUUAUGUAGCGUAAGUGUUUUAAUUAUUUAAUAUUAUCUAUCGUAAGUGUUUUAAUUAUUUAAAAGAAUUUAGCGUUAAUGUUUUAAUUAUAUAAUAUUAUGUAGCGUAAGUGUUUUAAUUAUUUAAAAGAAUGUAGCGUUAGUGUUUUAAUUAUAUAAUAUUAUGUAGAGUAAGUGUUUUAAUUAUUUAAUAUUAUGUAACGUAAGUGUUUUAAUUAUAUAAAUUAGUGACAAUGUCUUAAAUAAUUUGAAUUUCAGAUGUGGCAUGAUCAGACGGGUUAUAAGUGUAUAAAUGCAGGGAAAAAGAUGAAAGAGCUUGGUAAGCCGGAGACGGGUUUGAGGUGGUUUUGGGAGCUUGUGGAGGGGUCUAGCCUACAUGAUUUGAUAUACACAGGGUAUUCUACCGUGACCCAUGCCAUGAUACGUGCUAUGUGCGAGAGGUGACACACGGAGACCAGUAGUUUUCAUCUACCUGUGGGGGAGAUGACAAUCACUUUGGACAAUGUGCAUAAUCUCCUACACAUUCCUAUUCACGGCCGCAUGCUGGACCACGAUGAAGCAAUGGGUCAGGAGCGUGCGUUUGAUUUGAUGACCAGGUUGUUGGCCAUGUCAGAUGUUGAUGUUAGGGCUGAGAUUAGGACUGAGUCUGCUGGUCAUAUCAGUUAUCCCACAUUGAAGCGGGUUUAUGAAGACCACCUGACAGAGGCUAGACGGCUGGACGACCCACAUAUGAGGGAGGAGUUGCAGGAGAGAGCCAGGAGGAGACAGUGGUGUGUGAGGAGUUUUCUUCUAUAUCUCGUCGGUUGUGCGCUGUUCACUAACAAAACGAAUAGACACAUCGACAUGAUAUAUCUUGAUUGUAUGGUGGACUUGCAGACGAUUGGGAAGUGGUCAUGGGGAGGGAUGGCCUUAGCGUACCUGUACGACUAUCUGGAUGAUUAUGUUAUUCUGAAUAACAGAACGAUAGCUGCGAGAACGACUCUUUUUAUGGUAAUAAUUUAAUAUUUAUCUUCAUUUCUUUAUGAAUUUAUUUUAUAAUUUUUAUUAUCUUGUUAGAUUAUUUUUUCCUAAGUUAGACUGCAUUUAUUUAGGAUUUAAUUUAUAUUUUUCUGUGAAGUUUUUAUAAUGUAUUUUAUUUAUUUGUUGUAGGGAUGGAUUUUGGAGCAUUUGUCAGGUCCGUACCCAAGGAAGAAAAACAAGGAGUGGACGCUGAAGAGACCAUGUGCUGGGAGAUGGCUUACAUGCAAAGGGCAUAAAGUUGUGCACCAUUACCGCUCAUGGCUUGAUCACUUAGAGGUGGAUGACGUCAGGUUUUCUACUUAUGGUGAUCACAGAGAGAUACAUCUUUUUCAGCUUAUUGUCACUUACUUGGGAUGAGUGAUGUGUGGGAAGGAGAUGGUGUACCGUCAUUUACCUGAGCGGGUAAAGAGGCAGCUUUUCUAUGUACAGGAUGUUCCCAGACAUCCGUCAUCUGUCGCUCAGGUGCCUACGCAUUUGCUGCAGAAUGCUCAGAUGUGGUUCUUCACUGCUUGGGGAGAUGCGUGUGAGAGACCAUGACAUCAUGCGCCUGACUACAUGGCUUGGUAUGCCAAAGUCUCUCACCCUCCUAUUCUCCCACCCGAUGAAGGAUCUCCUCCCAGCCGGCGAACGUGGAGCAGAUCAUAGAGGAGGAGCAUGCCUAACACACUGACGAUCAUCCGGGAUGUGGUGCAUAUAGCUGAUGAUAUUGUGGCCAGACAAGCCGAGAUGACUAAAGAGGAGAUUGUCCAGGAGGUGAUGCGGAUAGCCGGUACUGGUCGCCCUGCCGUUACGUAUCAGAUUGCCAAGCGGCGCUGUGGGUCGAGGUAUGCUAGGCAGUAGGGUUGAUUAUAAUUAUGCUUUUUUUUUUUAUGUACUUUAUUACUGUGAUGAUCGUGAUGUAUAAUUAUGACAUGUUCUGUACAUUUUCUUAUUUCUACGACACUUUCGGACGUACCUUUUAUAUUAUUUCUUGUGUUUUAAAUAUCCUGUUCCUGUUAAAUAUUUGAUGAGUGACUGGAAACCAAACAUGUUGGUCAAGUGCUACCUUUUAGUUGGUUUGGAGGCACUGGAAACUGGAAAAAUGAGCUACUGCCUGGAAAAAUUUCCAAACACGUAGCAGUAGUUAACAACCGUUGGAUUUAGCGGCAGUUAACCACCGUUGAACUCAGCGACAGUUAACUGCCGGCAAUUUGCAGAAUGGUGGUUAACUACUGCUGAAGGCGUUUAAAUAAUUUACUUGUGUCAAUUGGAACUUUUCAAUGUCAGAAAAGCAAUAAAUUGCAUGUGGAUAGAAGCCCAUAGGUACUUCUACUAUACUCAACUCCAGUGAACAUUUUUUUUUUUUUUUCAACAACAUUGGAAACAAAACGAACCAAAACAUCGGACAAAAAAAAAAAAAGGCUGGAACACGAAGACGAUGUUGCAUUCCCGUAAAUCAAGGUAACAUGGCUUCCAUCAAAUUCUCCACACAGUUUUGAUUUCGUGAGCAUUUUCUAUUCAAUUAUCGCAAUUCUCAAAGGUUGUUGCUUCAUUUUGCACGAGACCCGUUUGAUGAAAUGCUUCACCCAAGUCUCAAACUAAACCUAACUCCAACAUUGAACACACAGUGAUUUAACUAUUCAACAGUGAUUGUUCCACCAGAUUCAGUGUUGUAUCGUUUACAAGUUUCCAAAAUCUUUCAUUUUUAGGUAUUUUCAAUUUGGGUUAUUAUGGCCAGUAAAACUUUGUUUAAGUGGCCAAAGCAAAUUACAAAUUCACUAGUUGAGCAGUUAAUAAAAGCCGAAAAGGACAUAAACAAAACUCUUGUUAUGUUUGAUUCUGCAACAGAAGAGUAUAGCAAUGGAUUUCGUCAUGAUCACAAUACUUUCGGUGCAAUGAUUCAUAGGCUAGUUUCUGUGAAUCAGUUUAGGCCAGCUGAAGGAAUGUUGGAGAGAAUGAAGCAAGAAGAUUGCGAGGUUACUGAGGACGUGUUUUUAACUAUAUGUAGAGGCUAUGGACGUGUGCAUAGGCCACUUGAUGCCAUCAGGGUUUUCCAUAAGAUGGAAGAUUUUCAGGUUAAGCCGACGCAGAAGUCUUACCUUACGGUAUUUGAUAUUCUCGUGGAGGAAAACCAUGUGAAAAGGGCUAUUGGUUUUUAUAAGGAGAUGCGAGAAAAGGGCAUUCCGCCAACUGUUGUUUCCCUCAAUAUUUUGAUCAAGGCGCUCUGCAAAAACGAGGAAACUGUUGAGUCUGCUUUUCGACUAUUUCGUGAAAUGCCCAAUCGUGGAUGCCAGCCUGAUUCGUAUACAUAUGGUACGUUGAUUAAUGGGCUGUGCAAACUUGGAAAAAUCAGUCAGGCAAAGGAACUGUUGGAUGAGAUGGAGGAGAAAGGUUUGUCGCCUUCUGUUGUUAGUUACACUAGUUUGAUACAUGGCUUGUGUCAAUCUAAUAAUUUGGACGAAGCUAUAGAAUUGCUCGAAGAGAUGAUAAUAAAUGGCAUCGAGCCAAAUGUUUUUACAUAUAGUUCUUUAAUGGAUGGUUUGUGUAAAAGUGGACAUUCUUCACAAGCAAUGGAGUUGUUAGAAGUGAUGGUUAGAAGACGUCUAUUGCCCAACAUGGUCACUUAUAGUACUUUAAUCAAUGGACUGUGUAAAGAAGGAAAGCAUAGAGAAGCUGUGGAGAUUCUUGACAGGAUGAGGCUUCAAGGGUUGAAACCAGAUGCAGGGAUGUACGGGAGAAUCAUAAGCGGCCUUUGUGCUGCUUGCAACUAUCAAGAAGCAGCAAACUUCAUUGAUGAGAUGGCUCUUGGUGGUAUCUCACCUAAUCGAGCAAGUUGGACCUUUCAUGUCAAAAUGCAUAACAUGGUUGUCCAAGGUCUUUGUAAUAAUGUUGAUCCAACUCGCGCAUUCCAAUUGUAUCUUAGUAUGCGUACUAGGGGUAUCUCUGUUGAGAUUGGCACUUUUGAUUGUUUAGUCAAAUGUUUUUGCAAGAGAGGAGACCUGAAUAAAGCUGCUCGAAUUCUGGAGGAGAUGAUAUUAGAUGGCUGCAUUCCGGAUGAGGGAAUGUGGAAUGUAUUAAUGUGUGGACUUUGGGAUCGGAAAAAAGUUCGAGAAACUACUGAGCUAUUGGUGGCUGAGCUGAAGCAGAAAUUUGUUGAAGCUGAGAGUUGAAGUUUGUAAGUCCAGAUGAGAACAUAUGGAAUGUAUUAAUUUUUGGACUUUCUAUGAUGAUCAUUGCUUCCAUGACCAAGGAUAAAGAUUCAAACUGUGACAAUAGAUUUGCUGUGUGCAAUUGAAGGCUAAAUUUACACCUAACCUUCUCUGUUUGUGGACACUUCUUGGUUCAUGCCUGACCUUUUUUGAAACUUUAACGACGCAGAUAUUUGUUGCAAAAAGAUUUUCCAUGGUUCUGGCCUGAUGGAUAAGGCAAACACACAGGUAAUUAAAAAUCCUCUGUUUUGAUCAAACCCAUUAAAUGAUGGUUAUUUUAAUUUUUCAUUUUCUAGAAACCUUGUCAGUUCCAGUAUUUUGGCCAAAUUUUAAGUAUACCACAUUCUUUUCAUAGCGCAAAAUUAACAUUUAAGUUGGCAUUCUUAUUUUUCAUAUGGUCUGACUCCUCAGAUACUUUAUCUAUUAUUGUGUUGUUUAACGGUGAAUUCUCACUAUACUUUAACAAGGUUCUGAUGUUCUGUUUUAUCUGUUACAACAAAAUUGGAGAAGUUCAAAAUUCCUGCUAGAUAGGGUAAAUAUGUAGAUUGCUAAGUAAAUAGAUUGUAUUUUUGACACACCAUGUCUUUUUGUGUUUGUGGAUCAUGAUCAGCUAAUGCUGAAAUUUUCUGUUGGGGAUAACUUUACAUCUCUGCUGGAAACAUGUGUAUGAUUGUGAUUGUUCAACAUGUAUAUUUGGGUUUAAGAUUCAAUAAAUACCAUUUUCCCCUUGAAAAAGUCAAAUAACUGGUUCGGUAGUUCCCUGUUUUCUGCGGCAAAAUGAUACAGGAUUAUAAUUGACUCUUGGACUUUUGACUUUGACCACUAACUUCAUAUCCUUAAUAUCGACAAAUUCUUGCUGAAUUCUGUCAAGUGUUCCAGGUUGUUUAGCGUCACUUCAGACAAAAGUUUGUUCUAGUUUUGAACUUUUAAUCAAGCAGAGGUUCCUCAUCAUCGGAUAUGAGACUAAUCGUAACGAGUUGCUUGAGGUGAUAUUCAGUUUUAACCAAUGGAUUAGUAAAAAUAUUGCUUGUAUGAUCAAGAUAGCUUAUAACCAAUGGAUUAGUAACAAAGUUUUUCUGGUGCUAGUUUUUCUCCAGGUUUAAUAUACACUAAAAAGGUAUUGAGACAAAUUUAAUUUGAAAACUAUGUGAUAUAGAUUUUGCAAUGAGAAUAAAUUGAAACACGGUGUUACAACUUAGGAAGUUCCAGUAGUAGGUUCAGAUAAGGGUCAGAGCCUUUAUGAUUUAUGGGUCUCUUGUAGCUGUAGGGUGUCUUGCCUUGUAUUGCAAAGUAAAAGUCAAUUUUAUGAAAUAAUGCACUUAGAUUUAAUAUAAAACCAUAAACAUAAAAACGCCAAUAAUUCAUUAAUCAAAUACAUUACUGAAAUUGGAUACAGCCAUAAACAUAAAAAAGAUCUCAAUUAUUAACUUGUUGAAAGGGGGAACCCAAUUCCAUGUCUCUCAGUAGGAAAUGCAACGAAAAGCAUGCUGCAAAAAACGCCAAUUGCCACAGGCAACGCCGUGAGGAUUUCUUGUAUCUCUUUUGAUGGUUCUGGAAAAAAG